UACAUGAAGGAAAUAUUCUAUAGAUAGACCUUAACCUUUAAAAGCACCUCCCAAUGUCAGGAUUAUUUGAGUUUCAGUUUAGUUUCUCACAUUCGACUUUUGCUUUUUAUUUAUCACGGCUGCAAUCCAAUAAUAAGACGAACUUGAUGAUGAAGCCACUGUUCAUGGUCCUCCUCCUUUCUGCAACCAAAGAGCUGAUGAGGAAAGGCUCGCUGUGUGAGGCUUCUCCGUGUCAGUCGUGUUCAUCAUAUAAAGAGUCCAACCUCUAUGUCCGGGAGGGGGAGAUGGCAGUGCUGAAGUUCCGAAUACCACAGGUCUGGAGGACUGAGCACAACAACGGAAACGUAACCCUGACAUGGAGCAACCACUCUGGGCCUGGGAGAUGGGUGUCUGGGGACACUCUGGUUAUCCUGAGGGUCUCUCCCAACGACGAAGGUUCCUACUCCUGCUCACUAAUUGGUGCCAGUGGUCAGGCUGUGGCCAUGGGGAGGUUUUACAUCAAGGUGUACUCUGACAAGUGCUACACAGACUUGGCCGUGUAUCCAACUUACUGUUAUGAGGGAGAGUCCUGCUAUCAACUCCAAUGUAGUGAAGACAACAUCCCACAGAACUUCACAAGACUUAACUAUACGUGGUACAAGGACUGUGACACAGAGUUGGACUCCUCUUUUGAAAAUGGAUACCUGUCAAGUGCUGAUGUAAAGGACAGUGGCAAUUAUACAUGCAUGUCAUACUAUGUCUAUAACUCACACCUUUCUGAUGGACAAGUGUUUAGGAAGUCCAGAACCGUGGAGUGGACAGUUGAACCUGGAUCUGUUCCUUUAGUUCCAAAGAUCAUCAGCCCAUAAGGAUGGAGAUUAUUUUGAAGUAGAUAUGGGUGAAUUUCUCUACUAUAUUUACAACAUCCCAUAAACUCUCUGGAUGAGUUAAUGUGUUUGUGUCUGACUGCGUCUUUGUGUGAGCCAAAUCAACCCAGAUCCCCUGUUGUGGUGGUUUGUAGAGCUGUCAUUGAAGAUCCUUUUGCAAACCUUUUCUGGUUGGCAAACAAGUCUUUUGUGGAAAAGGACAAUGACAAAUUGCCAGUGUUUUAUAAUUCUUCAAAAGAGCGAGGCCAUGAAGAGGCAUCUCUGGUGAUAAAGCAAGUGUCAGAGGAGCACCUGAACAGUAACUACACCUGUAAAUUGCAGUCACCCUCUGGGGUCGUCCACGUUUCCAUCACCUUAAAACAGAAGAGUAAGUCUGCCAGGUUUCUUAAAGGGAUAUUCCACCACAUUGCAACCACAACUGAAACGGCAUGUCUAUACAGGUAUUUGCUGUUCUAUGCCAUGAAUAUGCUAUAGCUACCACAAACCAGUGUAUGAAUUC
This is an RNA transcript of Esox lucius (northern pike), 1365 nucleotides long. RefSeq lists it as uncharacterized. The record is from RefSeq and is a predicted model, not a curated record. The transcript has 8 exons. NCBI's taxonomy places the organism in Eukaryota, Metazoa, Chordata, Actinopteri, Esociformes, Esocidae.